This 207-nucleotide ribosomal RNA is filed under the name uncultured bacterium. RNAcentral's name for it is "partial 16S ribosomal RNA". It matches the Rfam family "Bacterial small subunit ribosomal RNA", at positions 568 to 774 of the family's 1533-position model. The record is from RNAcentral.
UGCGUAGGCGGUCUUGCAAGUUGGGUGUGAAAUCCCUCGGCUCAACCGAGGAACUGCGCCCAAAACUGCAGGGCUUGAGGGAGACAGAGGUGAGCGGAACUUGCGGUGGAGCGGUGAAAUGCGUUGAUAUCGCAAGGAACACCCGUGGCGAAAGCGGCUCACUGGGUCUUUUCUGACGCUGAGGCACGAAAGCUAGGGGAGCGAACG